RNAcentral lists this ribosomal RNA (385 nucleotides) under uncultured Rikenellaceae bacterium. RNAcentral describes it as "bacterial SSU rRNA". It matches the Rfam family "Bacterial small subunit ribosomal RNA", at positions 1002 to 1382 of the family's 1533-position model. Lineage: Bacteria; Pseudomonadati; Bacteroidota; Bacteroidia; Bacteroidales; Rikenellaceae. The record is from RNAcentral.
AGAGAUGGAUUGGUGCCUUCGGGAACUCUGACACAGGUGCUGCAUGGCUGUCGUCAGCUCGUGCCGUGAGGUGUCGGGUUAAGUCCCCAUAACGAGCGCAACCCCUACUGCUAGUUGCCAGCGGGUCGAUGCCGGGGACGUCUAGCGGAACUAGCCAGCGUAAGCUGCGAGGAAGGUGGGGAUGACGUCAAAUCAGCACGGCCCUUACGUCCAGGGCUACACACGUGUUACAAUGGCCGGUACAGAGGGCAGCCACCCCGCGAGGGGGCGCGAAUCCCGAAAGCCGGUCCCAGUUCGGAUCGGAGUCUGCAACCCGACUCCGUGAAGCUGGAUUCGCUAGUAAUCGCGCAUCAGCCACGGCGCGGUGAAUACGUUCCCGGGCCUU